UACGUAGGGUGCGAGCGUUGUCCGGAAUUAUUGGGCGUAAAGGGCUCGUAGGCGGUUUGUCGCGUCGGGAGUGAAAACACUGGGCUUAACUCAGUGCUUGCUUCCGAUACGGGCAGACUAGAGGUAUUCAGGGGAGAACGGAAUUCCUGGUGUAGCGGUGAAAUGCGCAGAUAUCAGGAGGAACACCCGUGGCGAAGGCGGCUCUCUAGUACGGUACUGACGCUGAGACGCGAAAGCGUGGGGAGCGAACAGG
Molecule: ribosomal RNA, 253 nt
Filed under: uncultured bacterium
Lineage: Bacteria
Description: partial 16S ribosomal RNA
Rfam family: Bacterial small subunit ribosomal RNA
Source: RNAcentral